RNAcentral lists this ribosomal RNA (207 nucleotides) under uncultured bacterium. RNAcentral's name for it is "partial 16S ribosomal RNA". It matches the Rfam family "Bacterial small subunit ribosomal RNA", at positions 568 to 774 of the family's 1533-position model. The record is from RNAcentral.
CGCGUAGGCUGCGGGGUAAGUCGGGUGUGAAAUCUCAGAGCUCAACUCUGAAACUGCACUCGAUACUGCUUUGCUUGAGGACUGGAGAGGAGAUUGGAAUUCACGGUGUAGCAGUGAAAUGCGUAGAUAUCGUGAGGAAGACCAGUGGCGAAGGCGGAUCUCCGGACAGUUCCUGACGCUGAGGCGCGAAGGCCAGGGGAGCAAACG